GGUUCUUCUCAGAAUGUGAGAGCUGGCCAGAAAGUGGUGCUGUGGAAAUUGUCUAGGUCCCUGCUCAGCAUGUGCACAGAGGACAUGCCUGAACAGGCAGCAACAAGGAAGGCUGGGCCAACCUAGGUGUCACUUCCAUGAAGUGAAGGACUUGGUUGUACUGGAGCACCAGCCCAGCCUGAUCCCAGCGGCUUCCCGACCAUGCUGACCUGCUUGUUCAUGAAGACAUAGAUGAAGGGAUUAUAAACAGUGGAAGCCUUGGAGAAGACAGAGGGGAUGGAAGCCAGGCGGACGUCAAAGGGUUCCCCACGAUGGGUCACUACCCACAGUGCAAAGGAGGCGUAUGGCAGCCAACAGACCAGGAAGCCCAUCACCAUCACCACCACCAUCUUGGUCACCUCUCGCUCAGCUUUCUGUGUCGUGGCUGACUGCUCCUGCUGCUUGGCAACCUGUUGGCAUUGUCGAGAGGGGUGGGAAGGAGAGAGGGUUAGCCGUGGGGGUGAAUCCCUGGAGACCGACCAAGUGGCAGGAUGGGCAGGCCCUUGGUGCAUGGGAGCAGUUACCAUAUGCAUGGGGCCUACAUAAAACUUGGGUGGGGGGAGAAAAGGGAGAACAGCAGCAUGGGGGCAGAUGCUUUAGCUAGGUCUGAAAUGAGCUGUCAGGGAAGAGACCAGCUAGGUGAA
Long non-coding RNA from Hemicordylus capensis (graceful crag lizard), 683 nucleotides. RefSeq lists it as uncharacterized. The record is from RefSeq and is a predicted model, not a curated record. Lineage: Eukaryota; Metazoa; Chordata; Lepidosauria; Squamata; Cordylidae. The transcript is spliced from 3 exons.